This 874-nucleotide ribosomal RNA is filed under the name Parahaemophilus parainfluenzae. RNAcentral describes it as "Haemophilus parainfluenzae bacterial SSU rRNA". It matches the Rfam family "Bacterial small subunit ribosomal RNA". The record is from RNAcentral. Lineage: Bacteria; Pseudomonadati; Pseudomonadota; Gammaproteobacteria; Pasteurellales; Pasteurellaceae.
AUUGAACGCUGGCGGCAGGCUUAACACAUGCAAGUCGAACGGUAACAUAAAGAAGCUUGCUUCUUUGAUGACGAGUGGCGGACGGGUGAGUAAUGCUUGGGAAUCUAGCUUAUGGAGGGGGAUAACUACGGGAAACUGUAGCUAAUACCGCGUAAUAUCGAGAGAUUAAAGUGUGGGACCUUCGGGCCACAUGCCAUAAGAUGAGCCCAAGUGGGAUUAGGUAGUUGGUGAGGUAAAGGCUCACCAAGCCGACGAUCUCUAGCUGGUCUGAGAGGAUGACCAGCCACACUGGGACUGAGACACGGCCCAGACUCCUACGGGAGGCAGCAGUGGGGAAUAUUGCGCAAUGGGGGCAACCCUGACGCAGCCAUGCCGCGUGAAUGAAGAAGGCCUUCGGGUUGUAAAGUUCUUUCGGUAGUGAGGAAGGCAUUUAGUUUAAUAGACUAGGUGAUUGACGUUAACUACAGAAGAAGCACCGGCUAACUCCGUGCCAGCAGCCGCGGUAAUACGGAGGGUGCGAGCGUUAAUCGGAAUAACUGGGCGUAAAGGGCACGCAGGCGGUGACUUAAGUGAGGUGUGAAAGCCCCGGGCUUAACCUGGGAAUUGCAUUUCAUACUGGGUCGCUAGAGUACUUUAGGGAGGGGUAGAAUUCCACGUGUAGCGGUGAAAUGCGUAGAGAUGUGGAGGAAUACCGAAGGCGAAGGCAGCCCCUUGGGAAUGUACUGACGCUCAUGUGCGAAAGCGUGGGGAGCAAACAGGAUUAGAUACCCUAGUAGUCCAAGGGCGAAUUCCACAGUGGAUAUCAUGCUUAUCGAUACCGUCGACCUCGAGGGGGGGCCCGGUACCCAGCUUUGUUCCCUUUAGUGAAGGGUUA